UCCCUGGAGAGGAUUUGGGGACUUCAGGAGCUCCUUGGAGAAGGUUUGGGGGGGCUCAGGGGCUCCCUGAAGAAGGUUUGGGGGUUCCUCUGCUCCCUGGAGAGGAUUUGGGGGCUCAGGGGCUCCCUGAAGAAGGUUUGAGGAUUUCAGGUGUUCCCUGGAGAGUUUCAGGGGUUCAGGCGCUCCCUGGAGAGAAUUUGAGGACUUCAGGUGCUCCCUGGAGAAGGUUCUGGGGUUCAGGGGCUCCCUGGAGGGGUUCAGGGGCUCCCUGAAGAAGGUUUGAGGACUUCAGGUGUUCCCUGGAGAGGUUUGGGGGCUCAGGCUCUCCCUGGAGAAGGUUCCGGAUUUCAGGAGCUCCCUGGAGAAGGUUUGGGGGCUCAGGAGCUCCCUGGAGGGGUUCAGGAGCUCCCUGGAGAAGGUUUGGGGGUUCAGGGGCUCCCUGGAGAAGGUUUGGGGGCUCAGGAGCUCCCUGGAGUGGAUCUGAAGACCUUGGGUGUUCCCUGGAGAGGAUUUGGGGGUUCAGGGGCUCCCUGAAGAAGGUUUGGGGGGGGGCUCAGGUGCUCCCAGGAGAGUUUCAGGUGUCCAGACGCUCCGUGGAGAGAAUUUGAGGACUUCAGGUGCUCCCUGGAGAAUUUCAGGGGUUCCCGGGCUCCCUGAAAAAGGUUUGGGGGUUCAGGUGCUCCCUGGAGAAGGUUUGGGGGUUCCCCUGCUCUGUGGAGAGGAUUUUGGGGCUCAGGUGUUCCGUGGAGAGGAUUUGGGGGUUCAGGUUCUCCCUGGAGAGGAUUUGGGGGUUCAGGUUCUCCCUGGAGAGGAUUUGGGGGUUCAGGAGCUCUGUGCCCUGCUCUGGGGCUCCCUGGGCAGGGAGUGCCCAGCCUGGUGCCCGCUCUGGCCAGGCAGCUGCUGGUGGGUGGC
Long non-coding RNA from Serinus canaria (Common canary), 912 nucleotides. RefSeq lists it as uncharacterized. The record is from RefSeq and is a predicted model, not a curated record. Lineage: Eukaryota; Metazoa; Chordata; Aves; Passeriformes; Fringillidae. The transcript has 3 exons.